GACGAACCGUGCGAACGUUGUUCGGAAUCACUGGGCUUAAAGGGCGCGUAGGCGGUGUGUUAAGUCGGCGGUGAAAUACUCCGGCUCAACCGGAGAAUUGCCGCUGAAACUGGCAUGCUGGAGGGAGGUAGAGGUGCAUGGAACUUCCGGUGGAGCGGUGAAAUGCGUUGAUAUCGGAAGGAACGCCUGUGGCGAAAGCGAUGCACUGGACCUCAUCUGACGCUGAGGCGCGAAAGCUAGGGUAGCGAACGGG
RNAcentral lists this ribosomal RNA (253 nucleotides) under uncultured bacterium. RNAcentral's name for it is "partial 16S ribosomal RNA". It matches the Rfam family "Bacterial small subunit ribosomal RNA", at positions 524 to 776 of the family's 1533-position model. The record is from RNAcentral.